UUGUGUUGGAACUGUCGCGGACUGGGGACGGACGCGACAGUUGGCGAGCUGAAAUGGCUCGUUAGUAAAUAUCGUCCCUCCCUCCUCUUCCUUUCCGUGACAAAGAUGAGGGAUUCGAGAGCUCGGAACCUCAUGUGGUCGCUAGGUUACUCAGGAGCUUUUGCAGUUAGCAGUGAUGGAUUGAAUGGUGGGCUAGCUCUAUUUUGGUCCUCCUCUCUCUUGGUGUCAUUAAAAGGUUACUCCACGCAAUUGGUUGAUAUAAGAGUCAAAACAGAAAAUGGAGUCGAAUGGCGCACAAAACUGGUAUAUGGAGAACCAAAGAAAGAGUUGAGGCACAUCUUUUGGGAUAGACUUUGA
RNAcentral lists this ribosomal RNA (357 nucleotides) under Triticum aestivum (bread wheat). RNAcentral's name for it is "partial small subunit ribosomal RNA". Lineage: Eukaryota; Viridiplantae; Streptophyta; Magnoliopsida; Poales; Poaceae. The record is from RNAcentral.